RNAcentral lists this ribosomal RNA (253 nucleotides) under uncultured bacterium. Its description in RNAcentral is "partial 16S ribosomal RNA". It matches the Rfam family "Bacterial small subunit ribosomal RNA", at positions 524 to 776 of the family's 1533-position model. The record is from RNAcentral.
UACGUAGGGUGCAAGCGUUAAUCGGAAUUACUGGGCGUAAGCGUGCGCAGGCGGUUUUGUAAGUUUGUCGUGAAAGCCCCGGGCUCAACCUGGGAAUUGCGAUGAAGACUGCAAGGCUUGAAUCUGGCAGAGGGGGGUAGAAUUCCACGUGUAGCAGUGAAAUGCGUAGAGAUGUGGAGGAACACCGAUGGCGAAGGCAGCCCCCUGGGUCAAGAUUGACGCUCAUGCACGAAAGCGUGGGGGAGCAAACAGG